AUUGAACGCUGGCGGCAGGCCUAACACAUGCAAGUCGAGCGGAUGAAGGGAGCUUGCUCCUGGAUUCAGCGGCGGACGGGUGAGUAAUGCCUAGGAAUCUGCCUGGUAGUGGGGGAUAACGUCCGGAAACGGGCGCUAAUACCGCAUACGUCCUGAGGGAGAAAGUGGGGGAUCUUCGGACCUCACGCUAUCAGAUGAGCCUAGGUCGGAUUAGCUAGUUGGUGGGGUAAAGGCCUACCAAGGCGACGAUCCGUAACUGGUCUGAGAGGAUGAUCAGUCACCCUGGAACGGAGACCGGCCCCAGAGGCCGCGGGGAGCGGGCAGGGGGAAAUAGGGAACAAGGGGCGGGAGCCGUAUCACAACGGGCGUGGGGGGGAAGGAGGAUCGUCGGGUGAUGAAACAUUUUAUGUGGGGGGGAAGGGUAUUAGAUUAAUACUGUGGUGUUAGGGCUGGCACAGGAAAAAAAAGCCCGGGCAAUCUAGGG
Molecule: ribosomal RNA, 484 nt
Filed under: uncultured bacterium
Lineage: Bacteria
Description: partial 16S ribosomal RNA
Rfam family: Bacterial small subunit ribosomal RNA (bases 20-360)
Source: RNAcentral